GUAGGGAAUAUUGGACAAUGGGCGAAAGCCUGAUCCAGCCAUGCCGCGUGAUAGAUGAAGGCCCUCUGGGUUGUAAAUAUCUUUUAUCUGGGAAGAAACUCCUCUAUUCUUAGAGGCCUGACGGUACCAGAGGAAUAAGCACCGGCUAACUCCGUGCCAGCAGCCGCGGUAAUACGGAGGGUGCAAGCGUUAUCCGGAUUCACUGGGUUUAAAGGGUGCGUAGGCGGGUUGAUAAGUCAGUGGUGAAAGCUCCGGGCUUAACUUGGAAACUGCCAUUGAUACUGUAAAUCUUGAAUGUCGUAGAGGUAAGCGGAAUGUUGCAUGUAGCGGUGAAAUGCUUAGAUAUGUUACAGAACACCAAUUGCGAAGGCAGCUUACUAUGCGAUAAUUGACGCUGAGGCACGAAAGCGUGGGGAUCAAACAGGAUUAGAAACCCGUGUAGUCC
This 445-nucleotide ribosomal RNA is filed under the name uncultured bacterium. Its description in RNAcentral is "partial 16S ribosomal RNA". It matches the Rfam family "Bacterial small subunit ribosomal RNA", at positions 354 to 796 of the family's 1533-position model. The record is from RNAcentral.